This is a long non-coding RNA of Papilio polytes (common Mormon), 600 nucleotides long. RefSeq lists it as uncharacterized. The record is from RefSeq and is a predicted model, not a curated record. Lineage: Eukaryota; Metazoa; Arthropoda; Insecta; Lepidoptera; Papilionidae. The transcript has 3 exons.
AACAAACAACAAGGUUUUCAAAUAUUACAGUUCUAUUUGACAAAUCAAUCAAAAUUUCAGUGCAAACCCACACAAACCGUAUUUAAAAAAUUACACAAAAUUCCGGUAUGAGCAGUUAUAUCAAAGCAGGAUGGUGAAGCUGGUGCUUGGUGGAUAGCGUACGAUGGGCCUGGUGCGCGACGCGCUCUUUCUCCUGCUAACUACUCUACUCGCUGUAUCCUCUUUUGCCGCCGCCUGCACGAGGAAAGUUUACAUCGCCUGCAAGAAGCCUGCGCCCUGCGGGGAGUAACUAAGUAUGCCGCUGUUUGACCUCAGCCGCUUAGUAAUUCUGUCUUUGACCAUCCUCGCGCUGGUGUUGUCCGGAGCCCGCGGUUGCAAAAAGAGCGUCGCCUGCACAGGGCGCCCCCCUUGCCGACGCGGCCCCAUGGGGAAGUAACCUCGCUGAACAUGCUAGAAACCAUGGAUAAAUCUAAACUUGUUUGCAGAGUCUGUCCGACUUAUCUGCUGCGGAAAUAUGAAUAUUAUUAUGCAUUUAUUUCUUAAUCAGUAUUAAUGUUGACUCAAUUUCUUUGUAUAUACGUAAUAAAUCUCUAGAAAUAA